GUCUAUGGUCAUACCUGAAUGUUCCUGAUCUCAUCUGAUCUCCCAAGCUAAGCAGGGUCAGGCUUGGUGAGUGCUUGGAUGGGAGAUUAAUCACAGGUC
This 99-nucleotide ribosomal RNA is filed under the name Macaca nemestrina (pig-tailed macaque). The record is from RNAcentral. Lineage: Eukaryota; Metazoa; Chordata; Mammalia; Primates; Cercopithecidae.